CAGGUGUACAUGAGUUCCCAACCCUGAACCCCCCUCCCAUCACCCUCCCCAUAUCAUCUUUCUGGGUCACCCCAGUGCACCAGCUCCAAGAUUCCUGUAUCCUGUAUCAAACCUAGACUGGCGAUUUGUUUCUUACAUGAUAGUACACAUGAUUCAAUGCGAUUCUCCCAAACCAUCGCACCCUCUCCCUCUCCCACAGAGUCCAAAAGUCUGUUCUUUACAUCUGUGUCUCUUUUUCUGUCUCGCAUACAGGGUUAUCAUUACCAUCUUUCUAAAUUCCAUAUGUAUGUGUUAGUAUACUGUAUUGGUGUUUUUCUUUCUGGUUUACUUCACUCUGUAUAAACGGCUCCAGUUUCAUCCACCUCAUUAGAACUGAUUCAAAUGUAUUCUUCUUAAUGGCUGAGUAAUAUACAUUGUGUAUAUGUACCACAGCUUUCUUAUCUGUUCAUCUGAUGAUGGACAUCUAGGUUGCUUCCAUGUCCUGGCUAUUAUAAACAGUGCUGCAAUGAACAUUGGGGUACACGUGUCUAUUUCAAUUCUGGUUUCGUUGAUGUGUAUGCCCAGCAGUGGAAUUGCUGGGUCAUAAGGCAGUUCUAUUUCCAGUUUUUUUAAGGAAUCGCCACACUGUUCUCCAUAGUGGCUGUACUAGUUUGCAUUCUCACCAACAGAGUAAGAGGGUUUCCUUUUCUCCACACCCUCUCCAGCAUUUAUUGCUUGUAGACUUUUGGAUCGCAGCCAUUCUGACUGGCAUGAAAUGGUACCUCAUUGGGGUUUUGAUUUGCAUUUCUCUGAUAAUGAGUGAUGUUGAGCAUCUUUUCAUGUGUUUGUUAGCCAUCCGUAUGUCUUCUUUGGAGAAAUGUCUAUUUAGUUCUUUGGCCCAUUUUUUGAUUGGGUCGUUUAUUUUUCUGGAAUUGAGCUGCAUAAGUUGCUUGUAUAUUUUUGAGAUUAGUUGUCAGUUGCUUCAUUUGCUAUUAUUUUCUCCCAUUCAGAAGGCUGUCUUUUCACCUUGCUUAUAUUUUCCUUUGUUGUGCAGAAGCUUUUAAUUUUAAUUAGAUCCCAUUUGUUUAUUUUUGCUUUUAUUUCCAGAAUUCUGGGAGGUGGAUCAUAGAGGAUCCUGCUGUGAUUUAUGUCUGAGAGUGUUUUGCCUAUGUUCUCCUCUAGGAGUUUUAUAGUUUCUGAUCUUACAUUUAGAUCUUUAAUCCAUUUUGAGUUUAUUUUUGUGUACGGUGUUAGAAAGUGAUCUAGUUUCAUUCUUUUACAAGUGGUUGACCAGUUUUCCCAGCACCACUUGUUAAAGAGAUUGUCUUUACUCCAUUGUAUAUUCUUGCCUCCUUUGUCAAAGAUAAGGUGUCCAUAUGUGUGUGGAUUUAUCUCUGGGCUUUCUAUUUUGUUCCAUUGAUCUAUAUGUCUGUCUUUGUGCCAGUACCAUACUGUCUUGAUGACUGUGGCUUUGUAGUAGAGCCUGAAGUCAGGCAAGUUGAUUCCUCCAGUUCCAUUCUUCUUUCUCAAGAUUGCUUUGGCUAUUCGAGGUUUUUUGUAUUUCCAUACAAAUCUUGAAAUUAUUUGUUCUAGUUCUGUGAAAAAUGUGGCUGGUAGCUUGAUAGGGAUUGCAUUGAAUUUGUAAAUUGCUUUGGGUAGUAUACUCAUUUUCACUAUAUUGAUUCUUCCAAUCCAUGAACAUGGUAUAUUUCUCCAUCUAUUAGUGUCCUCUUUGAUUUCUUUCAUCAGUGUUUUAUAGUUUUCUAUAUAUAGGUCUUUAGUUUCUUUAGGUAGAUAUAUUCCUAAGUAUUUUAUUCUUUUCGUUGCAAUGGUGAAUGGAAUUGUUUCCUUAAUUUCUUUUUCUACUUUCUCAUUAUUCGUGUAUAGGAAUGCAAGGGAUUUCUGUGUGUUGAUUUUAUAUCCUGCAACUUUACUAUAUUCAUUGAUGAGCUCUAGUAAUUUUCUGGUGGAGUCUUUAGGGUUUUCCAUGUAGAGGAUCAUGUCAUCUGCAAACAGUGAGAGUUUUACUUCUUCUUUUCCAAUUUGGAUUCCUUUUAUUUCUUUUUCUGCUCUGAUUGCUGUGGCCAAAACUUCCAGAACUAUGUUGAAUAGUAGCGGUGAAAGUGGACACCCUUGUCUUGUUCCUGAAUUUGAGAGUUAUAUUUUAUUCAGUGGACAAAACUGAGGACCUAAGCCCAGGAUGCAGGCUCAUAGAUAGCUCUGAGGGACUGCUCUGAAGAAGGAAGGGAGUAGCCAGGAUACAUAGCAGUUUUUGCAACAAAGACUGGG
RNAcentral lists this long non-coding RNA (2268 nucleotides) under Ovis aries (sheep). Its description in RNAcentral is "lncRNA (ENSOARG00000025209.1)". The record is from RNAcentral. Lineage: Eukaryota; Metazoa; Chordata; Mammalia; Artiodactyla; Bovidae.